CCUACGGGAGGCAGCAGUGAGGAAUAUUGGUCAAUGGACGAGAGUCUGAACCAGCCAAGUAGCGUGAAGGAUGACUGCCCUAUGGGUUGUAAACUUCUUUUAUAUGGGAAUAAAAUGUUCCACGUGUGGGAUUUUGUAUGUACUAUAUGAAUAAGGAUCGGCUAACUCCGUGCCAGCAGCCGCGGUAAUACGGAGGAUCCGAGCGUUAUCCGGAUUUAUUGGGUUUAAAGGGAGCGUAGGUGGAUUGUUAAGUCAGUUGUGAAAGUUUGCGGCUCAACCGUAAAAUUGCAGUUGAAACUGGCAGUCUUGAGUACAGUAGAGGUGGGCGGAAUUCGUGGUGUAGCGGUGAAAUGCUUAGAUAUCACGAAGAACUCCGAUUGCGAAGGCAGUUCACUGGACUGCAACUGACACUGAGGCUCGAAAGUGUGGGUAUCAAACAGGAUUAGAUACCCCUGUAGUC
Molecule: ribosomal RNA, 460 nt
Filed under: uncultured bacterium
Lineage: Bacteria
Description: partial 16S ribosomal RNA
Rfam family: Bacterial small subunit ribosomal RNA
Source: RNAcentral